Molecule: transfer RNA, 87 nt
Filed under: Candidatus Sumerlaeota bacterium
Lineage: Bacteria; Candidatus Sumerlaeota
Description: tRNA-Leu
Rfam family: tRNA
About the family: Transfer RNA (tRNA) molecules are approximately 80 nucleotides in length. Their secondary structure includes four short double-helical elements and three loops (D, anti-codon, and T loops). Further hydrogen bonds mediate the characteristic L-shaped molecular structure. tRNAs have two regions of fundamental functional importance: the anti-codon, which is responsible for specific mRNA codon recognition, and the 3' end, to which the tRNAs corresponding amino acid is attached (by aminoacyl-tRNA synthetases). tRNAs cope with the degeneracy of the genetic code in two manners: having more than one tRNA (with a specific anti-codon) for a particular amino acid; and 'wobble' base-pairing, i.e. permitting non-standard base-pairing at the 3rd anti-codon position.
Source: RNAcentral
GCCGAAGUGGCGGAAUUGGCAGACGCGCUGGGUUCAGGGUCCAGUGGGGGCAACUCCAUCCGGGUUCAAGUCCCGGCUUCGGCACCA